UCACGCAGCACCUCCAGGCCUCAGCAGUGUGCCUGCUAAUGAAGCACGACGGCUUGAGGAAAUCAGCUGCCUUAGGACUGGCUCUUCCCAGCACAGCACAGGAACUCUGAUCCUAUUUACAUACAGCAGUGCCCGGUGGUAAGAGUGAUCAGCAGGAGGAACACCGGGACCUCCUUUACUUUGGGUGCAUGUGGAAGCUGAUUUGCUAUUGAGCCUUGUCUGCCUUUAUUUAGCUCACAAAGAACAGGUUUCUAUUUUCUAUUAUUAGCUUCAAUACUCUGGAGCAGCAAUACUGGUUGCUGUUCAUGUUACAUGCAAUUUUCAUGUUACAACAGAAGUGAGAGAUUGUGACGCCUGGGAUGGGAUAAUUAUGUCUGCAGUUAGCAACACCACGAGAACAGCAUUCUAAAUAAAUCCAUAGAAAGAUUAUUUAUCAUGGUACAGCCUAAAUAAAGCACAGCAGAAGAAUCCACGCUGAAAGCACUUACAAACACACCUCCCUCGGAUGGAGCUCGCUUCAGGCACGAAUGGAACAGGCUGUGUGGGACCUGCAGGAAUCCCAGCUGAUCCCCAGUCCAGGGCUUGCCCUCAACACGUCAGCGCAGACAGCUUUGGAAGAACCAAAUUUGUUUCCUACCCCUUAUAAACGAGCCCUCAAGAACGUCUACUGGGCAAAGAGGGAACACCGCUGAGAACUGGAACCAUGGCUGCUAAAAUGGGAUGGGAUGGCCUCCUCUUAACACACAACUUCUCUGCAGAGCUGAUGCCACCUGCAUUGAAGCCCGCCUUUAAAAUGACAGAAGCCUAUGAUAACAUGAAUAGCCCUUAAAAAAACAAGAUGAAACUUCAAGGAGCAGAAAGCAAAAUUACUGCAAGAAACUGAAUUCCCAGAAGUGAUGAUAUGAUAGUUUUCUUCAUUACAUCAAAGAGCUGAAGGUAUAGAGUUCGCUCUUAAAAUACCACUCUAGGACUAGAGUCCUUCAGAGGUGAAUUAUAUCCAUCUGUUAUUAAAUGAAAGGUAAACCUGAACUUCGAAGGAAGGCAAAGAGAAAUUAUUUCAUUACAGAUGUGGAGCAGCGUCCAUGAAUCUGACACAACACUGAGCUGUUGAGGCUGUAUCUAUGCAUUAGUCUAUCUAAAUCAGAACCUUUUCCAUCUGAGCAGCAAGAUUCUGAGGGACUGGACCAUCUUUUAUUAAAUUAUAGCUGCUGCUAUCAAGUACAUUUUUACAAAAUUAUAAAAAAUACUACAAAUAUUUUAAAAUACCAGCAAGUCACCUAUUUGAUGGACAUUUAUUAUAAUGAUGAGAUCUUUGGUUGUUUUUACAUAGCUGGUCUCUAACCACCUGAGUCAUGUGUACUUUCAGGAAUUUAUACUGAAAUAAAAGAUCCCUCUCUGUU
Long non-coding RNA from Gallus gallus (chicken), 1400 nucleotides. RefSeq lists it as uncharacterized. Lineage: Eukaryota; Metazoa; Chordata; Aves; Galliformes; Phasianidae. The record is from RefSeq and is a predicted model, not a curated record. The transcript is spliced from 2 exons.